AACUCUCAAACCGUCAUCUUUCAUCGGACGUCGGGUUUGGACUUGGAUGUUGCCGUGCUCUACCGCUCGGCUCGUCUCAAAUGCAUUAGCUGACUCUCCCGACUUCAGUUUUCGGCGUGAUAAUCACAUCUACGUCGAUGCCGUGAGGCGCUGGACCGGGCGACGAGCGGCUUCUAACCGUCCGCGAGGACAAAUUUUCAUCUCG
This 205-nucleotide unclassified non-coding RNA is filed under the name uncultured Tremellodendropsidales. RNAcentral's name for it is "sequence contains ITS2". The record is from RNAcentral. Lineage: Eukaryota; Fungi; Basidiomycota; Agaricomycetes; Tremellodendropsidales.